This 299-nucleotide long non-coding RNA is filed under the name Nicotiana benthamiana. Its description in RNAcentral is "long non-coding RNA (NBEN_LNC032488)". The record is from RNAcentral. Lineage: Eukaryota; Viridiplantae; Streptophyta; Magnoliopsida; Solanales; Solanaceae.
UCUUAUACGGACCCGGCCCCUGUGCCGAGUUUCGCUAAGUCAAAUGCACAUGAUGCAAAUAAAGCGAACCUACUAGGGAUAUUCGGCAUGUGGUUUGUUAUUCUAGGUUUAAAUCCUAUUGGAGAAGGUAUCUAGACUGGCUUACUCAAACGGACAACUCGAACCGAGAAGGAUCAGCGUACUGGUAGCAUUACUUUUCGGCUUUGCUAGUGGUGCUCCUCGCCUAAAAUAGGUGUGACUAAAAUCCUUCACCGGGCGACAAGAACCUCAGCUAUCUCAAAGAAAGCGGGCUAUGUCAA